RNAcentral lists this ribosomal RNA (716 nucleotides) under uncultured bacterium. RNAcentral describes it as "bacterial SSU rRNA". It matches the Rfam family "Bacterial small subunit ribosomal RNA", at positions 111 to 823 of the family's 1533-position model. The record is from RNAcentral.
UAACACGUAUCCAACCUGCCGUCUACUCNUNNNACAGNCUUCUGAAAGGAAGAUUAAUACAAGAUGGCAUCAUGAGUCCGCAUGUUCACAUGAUUAAAGGUAUUCCGGUAGACGAUGGGGAUGCGUUCCAUUAGAUAGUAGGCGGGGUAACGGCCCACUUAGUCUUCGAUGGAUAGGGGUUCUGAGAGGAAGGUCCCCCACAUUGGAACUGAGACACGGUCCAAACUCCUACGGGAGGCAGCAGUGAGGAAUAUUGGUCAAUGGGCGAGAGCCUGAACCAGCCAAGUAGCGUGAAGGAUGACUGCCCUAUGGGUUGUAAACUUCUUUUAUAAAGNNAUAAAGUCGGGUAUGGAUACCCGUUUGCAUGUACUUUAUGAAUAAGGAUCGGCUAACUCCGUGCCAGCAGCCGCGNUAAUACGGAGGAUCCGAGCGUUAUCCGGAUUUAUUGGGUUUAAAGGGAGCGUAGAUGGAUGUUUAAGUCAGUUGUGAAAGUUUGCGGCUCAACCGUAAAAUUGCAGUUGAUACUGGAUAUCUUGAGUGCAGUUGAGGCAGNCGGAAUUCGUGGUGUAGCGGNGAAAUGCUUAGAUAUCACGAAGAACUCCGAUUGCGAAGGCAGCCUGCUAAANCUGCAACUGACAUUUGAGGCUCGAAAGNUGGGUAUCAAACAGGAUUAGAUACCCUGGUAGUCCACACGGUAAACGAUGAAUACUCNCUGU